CCUACGGGUGGCUGCAGUGGGGAAUAUUGGACAAUGGGCGAAAGCCUGAUCCAGCCAUGCCGCGUGUGUGAAGAAGGCCUUCGGGUUGUAAAGCACUUUCAGUGGGGAAGAAAGCCUUGGGGCUAAUACCCUCGAGGAAGGACAUCACCCACAGAAGAAGCACCGGCUAACUCCGUGCCAGCAGCCGCGGUAAUACGGAGGGUGCGAGCGUUAAUCGGAAUUACUGGGCGUAAAGCGCGCGUAGGCGGUCUGAUAAGCCGGUUGUGAAAGCCCCGGGCUCAACCUGGGAACGGCAUCCGGAACUGUCAGGAUAGAGUGCAGGAGAGGAAGGUAGAAUUCCCGGUGUAGCGGUGAAAUGCGUAGAGAUCGGGAGGAAUACCAGUGGCGAAGGCGGCCUUCUGGACUGACACUGACGCUGAGGUGCGAAAGCGUGGGUAGCAAACAGGAUUAGAUACCCCGGUAGUC
Molecule: ribosomal RNA, 465 nt
Filed under: Vreelandella stevensii
Lineage: Bacteria; Pseudomonadati; Pseudomonadota; Gammaproteobacteria; Oceanospirillales; Halomonadaceae
Description: partial 16S ribosomal RNA
Rfam family: Bacterial small subunit ribosomal RNA
Source: RNAcentral